This is a non-coding RNA of Triticum aestivum (bread wheat), 115 nucleotides long. Lineage: Eukaryota; Viridiplantae; Streptophyta; Magnoliopsida; Poales; Poaceae. The record is from Rfam.
ACACUACUCCCUCCGUUCCAAAUUACUUGUGUCAAAAGUGGAUAAAAAUGGAUGUAUCAACAACUAAAAUACGUCCAUUUCUGUGACAAGUAAUUCCGAACGGAGGGAGUACAAU